This 292-nucleotide ribosomal RNA is filed under the name uncultured bacterium. RNAcentral's name for it is "partial 16S ribosomal RNA". It matches the Rfam family "Bacterial small subunit ribosomal RNA", at positions 505 to 796 of the family's 1533-position model. The record is from RNAcentral.
GUGCCAGCAGCCGCGGUAAUACGUAGGUGGCAAGCGUUGUCCGGAUUUAUUGGGUUUAAAGGGUGCGUAGGCGGUCUAUUAAGUCAGUGGUGAAAUAUCGCAGCUUAACUGUGAGGGUGCCAUUGAUACUGAUGGACUUGAGUGAAGUCGAGGUAGGCGGAAUUGACGGUGUAGCGGUGAAAUGCUUAGAUAUCGUCAAGAACACCAAUAGUGAAGACAGCUUACUAGGCUUAUACUGACGCUGAGGCACGAAAGUGUGGGGAUCAAACAGGAUUAGAUACCCCAGUAGUCC